AGCCAGACUCCUACGGGAGGCAGCAGUGGGGGAUAUUGCACAAUGGGGGCAACCCUGAUGCAGCGACGCCGCGUGAGCGAUGGAGUACUUCGGUAUGUAAAGCUCUGUCAGCAGGGAAGAGAAUGACGGUACCUGACCAAGAAGCCCCGGCUAAAUACGUGCCAGCAGCCGCGGUAAUACGUAGGGGGCAAGCGUUAUCCGGAUUUACUGGGUGUAAAGGGAGCGUAGACGGCGGGGCAAGUCUGGAGUGAAAGGCCGGGGCCAACCCCGGGACCGCUCUGGAAACUGCCCGGCUGGAGUGCGGGAGAGGUAAGCGGAAUUCCUAGUGUAGCGGUGAAAUGCGUAGAUAUUAGGAGGAACACCAGCGGCGAAGGCGGCUUACUGGACCGUGACUGACGUUGAGGCUCGAAAGCGUGGGGAGCAAACAGGAUUAGAUACCCGUGUA
Molecule: ribosomal RNA, 445 nt
Filed under: uncultured bacterium
Lineage: Bacteria
Description: bacterial SSU rRNA
Rfam family: Bacterial small subunit ribosomal RNA
Source: RNAcentral